This 1400-nucleotide ribosomal RNA is filed under the name Agrius convolvuli (morning glory sphinx moth). Its description in RNAcentral is "16S ribosomal RNA". Lineage: Eukaryota; Metazoa; Arthropoda; Insecta; Lepidoptera; Sphingidae. The record is from RNAcentral.
GGGGGAAUUAAUAAAUAUAAUUAUAAUAAAAGAAAUUUUAAUAUUAAAAAUAUAUGGGGGUUAAAGUAUUUUUAAUAGAAAAAAUUUUAAUUUUUAUAGUUUAAUAGUAUUGUAAAAGAAAUUUGAAAUAAUUGAAAAUAAAAUUAUUUAAAAGUAAAUUUAUAUUAUUGUAUCUUGUGUAUCAGAGUUUAUUAAUAAAAAAUUUAUUUUUUAAAAUUCUCGAAUUUAAAAGAGUUAAUUAAUUAAAAAAUUUAUUGUUUCAUAAAUAUUUUAAAUAAUUAAUUAGAAAUGAAAUGUUAAUCGUUUUUAAAUAUAUCUAGUUUUUUUAGAAAAAAAUUUAAUUUUUAAUUAAAAUUAAAAAUUUAUUAAUUAAUUUAAAUAAAUUUUUAUUUUAAUUUAAUAUUUUAAGGGAUAAGCUUUAAAUUAAAUUUUUAUAAUAAAUAUUUUAUAUUUUAAAAAUUUUAUAAUUUAUAUUGUUAAUAAAUUUUAAUUUAUUAUAAAUAAUUUUAAAUUUAUUUAAAAUUUAAUUGAAAUUUAAUUUUUUAUAAAAAAAUAUUUUUUAAUAAAAUAAAUAUAGUUAUAAUGAUAAAAUUAGUAAAUUUAUAAAUUUAUUUUUAAUAAUUAAAUAAAUAAAAUUUAUUUUAUAAUAAUUAUUUUAAAGGAACUCGACAAAUUAAUUAUGAUAUUUAUUUUAAUAUUUUUAAAAUUAUAUUUUCAUAUUAUAUAUUCACCUGUUUAUCAAAAACAUGUCUUUUUGAAUUAAUAAUUUAAAGUCUAAUCUGCCCACUGAUAUUUAAUUAAAGGGCUGCAGUAUAUUGACUGUACAAAGGUAGCAUAAUCAUUAGUCUCUUAAUUGGUGACUUGUAUGAAAGAUUGGAUGAAAUAUAGAUUGUCUCUAUAAUAUUAAAUUGAAUUUAAUUUUUUAUUUAAAAAGUUAAAAUAUAUUAAAAAGACGAGAAGACCCUAUAGAGUUUUAUAAUUAAUUUAUUUUAAAUUAUGAAUUUAUGUAAAUUUUUAAAUUAAAUUAAUUAUUUUAUUGGGGUGAUAGAAAAAUUUAUUUAACUUUUUUUAUAAAUAAACAUAAAUAAGUGAUUUAUUGAUCCAGUAUUAUUGAUUAUAAGAAAAAAUUACCUUAGGGAUAACAGCGUAAUUUUUUUUUUUAGUACAAAUAAAAAAAAAAGUUUGCGACCUCGAUGUUGGAUUAAGAUAAAAUUUAGAUGCAAAAGUUUAAAAUUUUGAUCUGUUCGAUCAUUAAAAUCUUACAUGAUCUGAGUUCAAACCGGUGUAAGCCAGGUUGGUUUCUAUCUUUUAAUAUUUUUAAUAUUUUAGUACGAAAGGAUCAAAUAUUAUAAUUAAAUUAAUUUAUUUGAAUAUUAAUAAAUUUUAAUAAAUUUAUAUUU